Pelobates cultripes (western spadefoot toad) is the source of this 1724-nucleotide non-coding RNA. The record is from the annotation of a GenBank genome assembly. Lineage: Eukaryota; Metazoa; Chordata; Amphibia; Anura; Pelobatidae.
CAGAGGUUGGGAUUAAUGCCUGGAAAGAGAGCUGCAGAGGAAUAGGCAGAAGGGACGAUACCUGCCUGGAAGGAGAGAGCUGCAGCCUGGUUGGGUGGAAAAGCUACGACUACUAGGUCUAAAGUGAUCUAUUGUCCCUUGUGGCAGCGAGGAAGCAUACUUGAUGAAGGUACUCAUUCUGAGUAGGGGAGCUCUGUCACAUCCGGAGGCAGCGUAGGGUGCUCUACCUCAUAGACCGACAUCUUUUUUUUUAAUAAACAUAGUAUUCCUUAAACCUAAACAAUGAUUAUAAAAAAGAAAAUUAUACAGAAAAGAAAAUGAAACAAUCAGGGUAAGUCCAAAAGUCCCCUUACUGAACAGGCAAAACCUGCUUGGUACAGGGGGCUAUUCGGACUGCAAAAUCUGGAUAUUGUUCACACUAUUUAACAAUGUCCAGAUUUUGCAAAUUAGGCUCCAAACAAUUCAUUGCAUUCCGGACCAGAUUCAAAGCAUUUGUAUCCGGAUUUGAAACAUUAGGUUUGGAUUUCACCUGUUUGGUGGUGUUUGGUCCUGGUAAAAACCAAACCAAAAUUCUUGAAAUCUGGGCCCGAAUGUGAAAAAAAUCGGAACUAUUUGCCAACUGGCAGCGCUAGCAGCGAGCGAGCAUAUAGUUAGAAGACCCUCACGCUGCAGUAAAUAAGCCACCACAUUAAAAAAGUGAUAAAUAAAUAAGGCACAAGUGACAAAGAGACUGUUUUUAUUACUAUAAGGGUGGCUUUAAUCAUGUUUAUCUACUAAAUAUUUAAAACUAGUGACUAAAAUGGUAUACUGCAAAAAAUAACAGGGGGGCAUAGACCUUCCCAUGCACCAACAUUGGGUGGGGAAUUUAAAAAAAAAAGGGGGGAGAGGGUUACUUACGAAACGAGAAGGUCGCCUAAUGUCCCUGCCACAGGGGGUACUGUUUUACACGUGAGACAUCGCUGAAUACAAAUAAAAGCAAACAGUAUUAUGACAUUCACAGUUAAAAUGUCAUUCAGAACUAAAACAAAAUAAAUUUCUUAAUUCCUCACAUUUUUUUCUUAUUUUAUUCAUAUUAAAUUAUGUUUCAUAGCUAAAUAUUUGAUGUUAAAUGAAAGCCCUUUUUACCCUGAAUAAAAUGAUAUAUAAUAAGUGUGGGUGCACUUAAUAUGAAAUAGGUGAAUUACGGUUGAACAGACAUGUAGUCAAAUUCCAAGUUUUGUUUACGUUUUAUUUUGAUCAAAACGUGUAUAUUUUACUCAGUUUUAAACGGGUUAAGGAAGACCCCCAGAAUCAGCAGCAAUUUCUAUAAAGAACAUUUUUCAAGCCCAAUAUAAAAGUUAUAUAAACUGACAUUUAUUACAAUUCAACAUACAUGUUCAUUUCAUGUAAAAGCAUUAAAGGACAUUUUAAGACUACAAAUAUAGGUAUUUGAGUCUAUAGAAUCCCCCACGGCUAGACAAGGUUUUGUAACUCAUCAGCACGUAGAAAUGGAUGACAAUGUUUUAUUUAUCAGAAAAUGAUGUAAUCUUUUCCACUUUUAUCCCUUUGAUUUUAGACAUCUGAACUCAGAGCCACACAAGGAGGGCCUAAAUUACAUGGACACCAAGGGAGAAUUGAAGAUCAGUUUGCUCUUUAACUCAAGAAAUAGGGACGAGAAGAGAAAAAAGUCGCAGUGGAAAUCAAAACUUCAUUCUACUACAUCCUUCUAGACACAACAAUUGUGG